This 706-nucleotide long non-coding RNA is filed under the name Homo sapiens (human). RNAcentral's name for it is "long independently transcribed non-coding RNA 2612 (LINC02612)". Lineage: Eukaryota; Metazoa; Chordata; Mammalia; Primates; Hominidae. The record is from RNAcentral.
CAGGACCUGCUGAACCUGGGGCCCUAUAGGAGAGCACUGAUGGCCCACCCCUGAUUGUGGCCCUGGUCUUCAUGUCUGCAUCAGCCUCAGCCAUCUCAAGACCACAACAGGAACAUAGCCAAGUCAGAGAAGGAAGACCAAAAGCACCAGGGCCCUUCAUAUUAUUAAGCUGCUAAAUUAACUAAUCUUGGAAACUUCUAGACUCUACAAUUCUUGUUGUAUGAGAAAUCAUCUACUACAUAAAAUUCUGGUUUCAUACUUGGCCAUUCCUGCUUAACGGAGCUAACAAAGAAAUUUAAGAGUGGAUUGACAAUUAUUCUCUGGACUUUUUGGUAACCAAGAACUUCUAGCAACUAACCCUGGCAUGACCACCAGAAUCUGCAGGGCUGAGAGAAGAAAGAAAGGCAAAAGUGGAUGAAUGCAGCUGAAGAUGCUGUGGAACUCCUAUCACAUUCCAAGUGCUGUGUUGAUAUCUGGAGAUAUAGACAAGAUCGAAGCAGAUGCAGUCUUUCACAUGAAUAUUUGAAUCAGGCAUUAAUGGAAUGGCUUCAAUAAUACAGUAAAAUUAAGAUAUUCAAACAAGCAGGAUGCAGGUGAUGGGUAUUGGCCUCAGCUUUAGAGACCAGAGGUUAAAUCUCAGUGCUGCCUGCCACAAAACGAUCCAUGUAAGUCAAUAAACAAUGCUUUUUAAAAUAUUAUUAUAAAG